GCCUUCUUAGCUCAGUGGCAGAGCACUACUCUUGUAAACUAGGGGUCAUGAGUUCAAUUCUCAUAGAGGGCA
RNAcentral lists this transfer RNA (72 nucleotides) under Daphnia magna. Its description in RNAcentral is "tRNA-Thr". It matches the Rfam family "tRNA". From Rfam's summary of the family: Transfer RNA (tRNA) molecules are approximately 80 nucleotides in length. Their secondary structure includes four short double-helical elements and three loops (D, anti-codon, and T loops). The record is from RNAcentral. Lineage: Eukaryota; Metazoa; Arthropoda; Branchiopoda; Diplostraca; Daphniidae.